AAGACACUACCAAAAAAUAGAUUCAUAAUGAAUAUGAUCCAUAAAACAUGCAUCAAAUGACAGAAUAAUGAUUGCAGAUUUUAGUAUUAGGCCCUCUAGCAAUCCCUUUGAUAGCAUGACCGUCUGGAUACAGUUUCCUGAAUUACCUGUGAAAUAUUAUGACAAGGAAGCUUUGUUUGACAUUGCUAAAAUGGCUGGAAGACCAUUACGGGUUGAUUAUGCUACUGAUCGCUUAACUAGGGCACGAUAUGCUAGGGUUUUCUUAGAUAUUGAUCUAACAAUCCCUUUGAUCACAAGUGUUUGGGUGGGAAAUAGUUGGCAAUCCAUUGAAUAUGAAAACAUUAAAUGUCUCUGUUUUUUGUGUGGAAAAAUUGGUCACACGAGAGAAAAAUGUAACCAAAAGAAAGUUGUUGUUGAUAAUGGAAAAAGCAUUGUGGAAAAUUCUUCACUUUCUAAAGUGGAUAAAGGUUUGUUAGAUACUCCAUCAUCCUCCACUAACCACAAUUUGGGGGUUUUGGUUCCCCAUACAGAUUCUCAAUUUGGGUCGUGGACUAUAGUCACGAACAAGAAAAAGCACAACCAGAAUAACUUGCAAAAAAAAAUAUAUAAUAGUGGCCUUCUACCAAAGCCCAAACAAGGCCCAGCCCACACCUCUACCACUUCUAAACCCAAUCUAAUAGCCAAAAAACUAAAAAAUCUUCUACUCUUCCAAAAGCAAAUAAACUCAUCUUCCUCUUCUAAUGCUUUUGCUAUAUUGGACUCCACUGAAAAUUUACCAGCCAAUGAAACAAUAUCCCCUAAUAAAAUAAUCAAAAGCAAUGAUAAGAUCCUUCUUGAAAAUUACAAACAAAAACCCCCAAUUUCAUCUUCCCCUAUUCUCCCACACGCUUCAUCUUCCCCUUCCAUUACCUUCUCCUCAGACCUUUCUUGCCACCUGGCAAAUAGCAACUCGCCUUAAACAAUGGCGGAAGCCAAACCCUCUCAUAAUUUAAACUCACAGCAAAAACCAAACACAUAAAAUUUAACCUUGAAACCUCUUACCCAUGGAAAAUCAACACCCAACUCCACCUCAUGACCUGUCAACUCCCCAUAACCGACCUCUCCACGGACUUCCCAUCACCCAAGCUCAACCACUAUCCAUGAGAAUGUCAUUCUCUCCUUACCCCAAUCACCACCACCAUCCCAUAAUUUUCCAUUCAACAACUCAUUGACACCGUCACAAAUCAGGGAGAUAGUCCGGAUUCCGCCACCACGAUCUCCUCUUCUAUGGUCAUCGAUCGAUUCCCAGCCAACUCCGGCGAAGAUCGAGAUGAUGUACAACACUCUCCUUUAAAUAACAGAUCUUAUGAACAAGCAAUUCACUCAAUCUCCGCCUCCUCCACCACCAACAACUCCACAACCAACCCUUCGACCAUGGUAUCAGCAACAAGUUGCAUGGCCGAAUUACCAGAACCAUCCCCUUACCCCUCCACCUUUCAACCCCCAAAUAAUCACUCUCUCUUCGGAAAACAGCGAGCAAGACCUAGAAAACCCAAAACACCUUAUGAAAAUCUUCAGAAUCGGAAAGGGAGUGGUGGGUUUACAAAUAGAAGUCAACUUUUGGGAAACAACGAACACAAAUAGGGAACUACACUCCAUGGUGAUUCCCUUGAAGAUGCACGACACUGUUCUGAUGGAUCGAACAAUGUCAUGGAAGGAAUGGGAUAAAUUGAUCCCCUGUUCUGCAAUGGUAAGCCAAUUCCCCCUUUUCCUGAUCUUGAUAUGAAGAUUGUUUUGUGGAAUGUCUGUGGAGCUACUAGGAAUGAGUUUAUACCUCAUGCAUGGGAGGUAAUCGCAGCUCACAAGCUGAGCAUUUUCAUCAUACUUGAAACUAAAAGUGAUGGAUGUCGUGCAACUCAAGUUUCUAAGUUACUUGGUUUUGAUGCUUUCGAGUUUGUCAAGCCUAAUGGCCUUCGUGGUGAAAUUUGGCUAAUGUAUAAGAACAGUGUUGAACUCAUCCAAUAUCAGGAGGGUAUUACCAGAAACUUUUUUCAUGCUUUAUUCAAGUUCACUCCUGACAGUAAGGAAGUGUUGCUUACUGUAGUGCAUGCACCUUCUUCCCGUUCUGAAAGGCAUAAGUUGUGGAAUGAUUUAAAAUCUUCCCUUCCGCCAAAUGACACUCCAUGGUUAUUCUUGGGUGACUUGAAUGAAGUAACAAGUCCAUCCGAAAAAUUUUGAGGCCUCAAAUUCAGACAAUCUCAGUGUUCGGAUUUGAACAAGCUUGCUGAUGCUACUUGUUUGGUUGACUUGGGGUUUUCUGGAAACCCUUUCACAUGGCACAAUGCUAGAGAGGGCCUUAAUUUAAUUCAGGAACUCUUGGACAGGGAAAUGGGGAAUCCGAGCUGGCUAAACACUUAUACAAACACUCAGGGAAGGAUGGAUAGACCUUCAUCAUCUUCAGUCAACUCAGUCCCAAGGACCUGGGCUCCACCUCAGAAAGGCUUUUACAAGCUUAACACCGAUGGUUCCUGGAUGGACAUUGAUAAUGCAGGUGGAGGAGGUGUCAUCAGGUGUGACAAGGGAUGUGGGUUGUUGGCUUUGCAAUAAGGUUCAAUGCCAUGUCUGCAGCAACUGCUGAGCUUCUUGCCAUUAGGGAGGGCCUGAUAACUGCUUGGAGCAAAGAAAUCAAACAGCUGGAGUUAGAAACAAAUGCUGAGGCUCUUUCUAAGAUGCUCAAAGACCCUAAAUCAUGUGAAGAUCAUGACCUUGGAAAUGUUAUCAGGGAUGUUGCCUCCUUGCUGGAAAGGAACUGGACAGUUUCGAUCUUCCAUGCUAACAGGUCUUGUAAUUUUGUUGCUGACAUAUUAGCAACCAUUGGCAGGACCAAGAUCAAGGUUGGUGAGAGGGUUCCUUAUAACUACCCUCCAGCUGCAACCUUCGAAGCUUAUGCAUCCGAGAUCCCUAAUAUGCUAGCAGCCUAGCUUGGUGUUUAGUUCUCUUCCAGCAGCACCUUUUGAUCAGCUUGUGUUGUUUGCUAUUAGUUAUGCUUGCUUAGUAUAUAUUACUAGUGCUUUUACUUUUUAUUUUCAAACUCUAAACUAUGCCUAUAAGGUAAUUUUAGGUAAUUCUGGGUUGCUACACAUGUGCUCGAAUUAUCUUUCUUUUGCUAGAUGGCUUCAUGCCAUCCUUAUCUAA
Chenopodium quinoa (quinoa) is the source of this 3174-nucleotide long non-coding RNA. RefSeq lists it as uncharacterized. NCBI's taxonomy places the organism in Eukaryota, Viridiplantae, Streptophyta, Magnoliopsida, Caryophyllales, Amaranthaceae. The transcript is spliced from 2 exons. The record is from RefSeq and is a predicted model, not a curated record.